RNAcentral lists this ribosomal RNA (624 nucleotides) under uncultured fungus. RNAcentral describes it as "eukaryotic LSU rRNA". The stretch from base 258 to 410 matches the Rfam family "5.8S ribosomal RNA". The record is from RNAcentral. Lineage: Eukaryota; Fungi.
AAGUCGUAACAAGGUUUCCGUAGGUGAACCUGCGGAAGGAUCAUUACCGAGUGUAGGGUGUCGCCUCGGCGCGCCCGACCUCCCAACCCUUUGUCUACCUUACCACAACGUUGCUUCGGCAGGCCCGCCGACCCCUGGAGAUCCGUCUCCGGGGCGAGGCCGCCGGGGGCGCACGCCCCGGGCCCGCGCCUGUCGAUGGCCCUUCUCAAACUCAUGUUUAAUCGUGUCGUCUGAGUUAUCAUUAAAAUACAAACCAAAACUUUCAACAACGGAUCUCUUGGUUCUGGCAUCGAUGAAGAACGCAGCGAAAUGCGAUAAGUAAUGCGAAUUGCAGAAUCCGUGAGUCAUCGAAUCUUUGAACGCACAUUGCGCCCUUUGGUAUUCCGAAGGGCAUGCCUGUUCGAGCGUCAUUAUCACCCCUCAAGCCCGGCUUGCUGUUGGUGGCGGCGGGGCCUUUACCGGCCCCGCCCCGCCCAAAGAUAAUGACGGCGUCUGCGAGGACCCCUGUACACUGAGCUCUCGGGCACGUACACGGUUGGCACUCCGGGCGCCGGUCGCCGUUGUCUCCGACAACACUUUUCUAAGGUUGACCUCGGAUCAGGUAGGGAUACCCGCUGAACUUAA